Molecule: ribosomal RNA, 497 nt
Filed under: uncultured bacterium
Lineage: Bacteria
Description: partial 16S ribosomal RNA
Rfam family: Bacterial small subunit ribosomal RNA
Source: RNAcentral
GAUGAACGCUGGCGGCGUGCCUAAUACAUGCAAGUCGAGCGAACAGACGAGGAGCUUGCUCCUCCGACGUUAGCGGCGGACGGGUGAGUAACACGUGGAUAACCUACCUAUAAGACUGGGAUAACUUCGGGAAACCGGAGCUAAUACCGGAUAAUAUAUUGAACCGCAUGGUUCAAUAGUGAAAGACGGUUUUGCUGUCGCUUAUAGAUGGAUCCGCGCCGCAUUAGCUAGUUGGUAAGGUAACGGCUUACCAAGGCAACGAUGCGUAGCCGACCUGAGAGGGUGAUCGGCCACACUGGAACUGAGACACGGUCCAGACUCCUACGGGAGGCAGCAGUAGGGAAUCUUCCGCAAUGGGCGAAAGCUUGACGGAGCAACGCCGCGUGAGUGAUGAAGGUCUUCGGAUCGUAAAACUCUGUUAUUAGGGAAGAACAAAUGUGUAAGUAACUAUGCACGUCUUGACGGUACCUAAUCAGAAAGCCACGGCUAACUACGUG